This 1217-nucleotide unclassified non-coding RNA is filed under the name Leptinotarsa decemlineata (Colorado potato beetle). RNAcentral describes it as "uncharacterized LOC111512260, transcript variant X1". The record is from RNAcentral. Lineage: Eukaryota; Metazoa; Arthropoda; Insecta; Coleoptera; Chrysomelidae.
AGCUUACUACUUGAAUUACUUCAAGUCAAUUUCAUUUAUACCCAGAGUUAACGAAAUAUUUUCCUCACGAUGUAACAACGAAGAUAAUCGAAUAAUAACCUUCACAUGUGAAAAUGGAUCAGCGAUAAUAAAUUUUCUCAGAUGGGAUGAAAAACAAGAGAUGUUCCUCAGCACAGAAGACUAUUCGAUCAAUCUGGGUCGAUAUCCAGUUUACAUCAAACAAAUUGAAAUGGCUGGUAGAGAUUAUGUAUUUAUUGAAAACGAAGUAGAGAAGUCAGAGGAAAUGAAGGAUGAUUUUACAGAUCAUACCCAUGUUGGUGAAUUGAUUCAUUUCGAUCAAAGCACCAAAUUCAAGCAUACAACAUUUUUAACCAAAGGAACACAUUUUCUAACUUCCUUCAAAAUCGAGAGUAUGAACAGUUUCUGUUUAUUAUUUAUCGAUUUCCCGUUAGAUAUGAACAUACUCUGUUUGGGAGCUGAUGAAGAAUUUUACAUUCAUCAAAGACUGGAAUCAGAGAAACCAUUCAUGGCAUCUGCGUUGAGCGUAGCAGAACAUCAAUACCUGAUUACCAUCAGGAAAGAAGAUCCAAGAACUUCUAUUUGGAAAAUGAACGAUAAAUUCAAGUUUGAAAUAUAUCAGACACUCUACGAAGGUGACCCCAUUAGUCUUUCUUCUAUAUCAUGCACCCACGGAGCUUUCGUUGCAGUGGCUUAUGGACAUUUGCUGAACACCAAGGAGUUUGGGAAGGUGAUAAUAAGAAGAUUCGAUAAAAACUUGGAAGAAUUUGUCAUAUGGCAAACAAUUAAACUAAAAACCCCUGUACAAAUAGAAUUCGCACUGCUUCCAACACAAGAGUUAGUACUGUACAUAACAACAGAAAACCCGGCCGAACCUUUCAAUGUCUACAUCUACGAAGGAAUUUCUGGUUUCAGCAGAAAUGUUGGAGGCUCUACCAUACCCAACAUAAUAAAUAUGAACCAGUUUUCAUUGAAAAAUGGACACUUUGUUGUUGUGAAACAUUAUUAUGAAAUCGGAGUAAUUCAAGCUGUAUUCAAAGGUAGUAAACCCGAUUUUUAAUCAUUGGAAAAUGAUGUAAUUUGAAAGUAUAUUUAGUGAGAAUAUUAUUGUUAUGAUUGUUAUGUUUACAUACAUGUUCAAGUUUUUAUUCUGGGAUUUAUUCCAUGUUAAUAUAUGUAAAUAAAUACUUAAGAAAUCA